This 723-nucleotide ribosomal RNA is filed under the name uncultured bacterium. RNAcentral describes it as "bacterial SSU rRNA". It matches the Rfam family "Bacterial small subunit ribosomal RNA", at positions 82 to 801 of the family's 1533-position model. The record is from RNAcentral.
GCUUCUCUUGAUAGCGGCGGACGGGUGAGUAAUGCCUAGGAAUCUGCCUGGUAGUGGGGGAUAACGUCCGGAAACGGACGCUAAUACCGCAUACGUCCUACGGGAGAAAGCAGGGGACCUUCGGGCCUUGCGCUAUCUGAUGAGCCUAGGUCGGAUUAGCUAGUUGGUGGGGUAAUGGCUCACCAAGGCGACGAUCCGUAACUGGUCUGAGAGGAUGAUCAGUCACACUGGAACUGAGACACGGUCCAGACUCCUACGGGAGGCAGCAGUGGGGAAUAUUGGACAAUGGGCGAAAGCCUGAUCCAGCCAUGCCGCGUGUGUGAAGAAGGUCUUCGGAUUGUAAAGCACUUUAAGUUGGGAGGAAGGGCAGUAAAUUAAUACUUUGCUGUUUUGACGUUACCGACAGAAUAAGCACCGGCUAACUCUGUGCCAGCAGCCGCGGUAAUACAGAGGGUGCAAGCGUUAAUCGGAAUUACUGGGCGUAAAGCGCGCGUAGGUGGUUCGUUAAGUUGGAUGUGAAAUCCCCGGGCUCAACCUGGGAACUGCAUUCAAACUGACGAGCUAGAGUAUGGUAGAGGGUGGUGGAAUUUCCUGUGUAGCGGUGAAAUGCGUAGAUAUAGGAAGGAACACCAGUGGCGAAGGCGACCACCUGGACUGAUACUGACACUGAUGUGCAAAAGCGUGGGGAGCAAAACAGGAUUAGAUACCCUGGUAGUCCACGCC